AACAAGGAUUCCCCUAGUAACGGCGAGUGAAGCGGGAAGAGCUCAAAUUUAAAAUCUGGCGGUGCAUUCCGUCCGAGUUGUAGUCUAGAGAAGCGUCAUCCGCGCCGGACCAUGUACAAGUCUCUUGGAACAGAGCGUCAUAGAGGGUGAGAAUCCCGUCCUUGACAUGGACUCCCGGUGCUUUGCGUUGCGCUCUCAACGAGUCGAGUUGUUUGGGAAUGCAGCUCAAAACGGGUGGUAAAUUCCAUCUAAAGCUAAAUAUUGGCGAGAGACCGAUAGCGAACAAGUACCGUGAGGGAAAGAUGAAAAGCACUUUGGAGAGAGAGUUAAACAGUACGUGAAAUUGUUAAAAGGGAAAC
RNAcentral lists this ribosomal RNA (359 nucleotides) under Ceratobasidiaceae sp. CBS 501.93. Its description in RNAcentral is "eukaryotic LSU rRNA". It matches the Rfam family "Eukaryotic large subunit ribosomal RNA", at positions 67 to 420 of the family's 3401-position model. The record is from RNAcentral. Lineage: Eukaryota; Fungi; Basidiomycota; Agaricomycetes; Cantharellales; Ceratobasidiaceae.